Molecule: long non-coding RNA, 2056 nt
Organism: Oncorhynchus nerka (sockeye salmon)
Lineage: Eukaryota; Metazoa; Chordata; Actinopteri; Salmoniformes; Salmonidae
Exons: 3
Source: RefSeq, a predicted model, not a curated record
AUACAUCCACAGGUACACCUCUAAUUGACUCAAAUGAUGUCAAUUAGCCUAUCAGAAGCUUCUACAGCCAUGACAUCAUUUUCUGCAAUUUUCCAAGCUGUUUAAAGGCACAGCCAACUUAGUGAAUGUAAACUUCUGACCCACUGGAAUUGUGAAAUAAUCUGUCUGUAAACAAUUGUUGGAAAAAUGACUUGUGUCAUGCACAAAGUAGAUGACCUAACCGACUUACCAAAAUGAUAGUUUGUUAACAAGAAAUUUGUGAAGUGGUUGAAAAACGAGUUUUAAUGACUCCAACCUAAGUGUCUGUAAACUAGUUUUAAUGACUCCAACCUAAGUGUCUGUAAACUAGUUUUAAUGACUCCAACCUAAGUGUCUGUAAACUAGUUUUAAUGACUCCAACCUAAGUGGAUGUAAACUAGUUUUAAUGACUCCAACCUAAGUGUCUGUAAACUAGUUUUAAUGACUCCAACCUAAGUGUAUGUAAACUUCUGACUUCAACUGUACAUGCACCAUUUCUUCACCAAAUAUGGAGUUGGGGAAACACGUGUGGACCUGAAUUGUGAUAACUGCAGUGGCCAAAACAAGAACAAUUUUGUGCUCUGGUAUUGUGCCUGGCGGACCAUGCUCAUACACAGUCUGGACUUUCACUUCCUGAUCACAGGCCACACCAAGUUUGCCCCUGACUGGUGCUUCGGCCUCAUCAAGCAGCGUUUCAGAAAGACCAGAGUCAACACUGUCUGAGAUUGCUGGUGUUGUGAAGGACAGCACUGUGACAGGGGUCAACAUCCCACAGCUGGUUGGACUGGAGGAUGGUACGAUGCUGGUGGAAAGCUAUGGCUGGCAACAACACCUGACUCUGUACUUCAGGCCGCUGCUACAGGGCAAGCAGUACCAGCACUUCAGCCCCUGACCAAUCCACUCAAAAAAGAAAUGGGCCUGUGGCUGAAUGGAGUUGAGACCUGCUGUAAAGGAUAUUACGCAGCAGCAAAGAAUGGAAGGUAGUUCUGGGACCAUGCCUCAGGACUACCUGGCCUGAUGACUCCUCCUCGCUGUCCCCUGUCCUGCUGCUGCUCCAACUGUUCUGCCUGCGGCUAUGGAACCCUGACCUGUUCUCCUGGCUGUCCUGCUGCUGCUCCAACUGUUCUGCCUGCGGCUAUGGAACCCUGACCUGUUCACCUGGCUGUGCUGCUGCUCCAGUUUCAACUGUUCUGCCUGCGGCUAUGGAACCCUGACCUGUUCACCGGACGUGCUACCUGUCCCAGACCUGCUGUUUUCAACUCUCUCUCUCUACCGAACCUGCAGUCUCAAACUCUGAAUCCUCGGCUAUGAAAAGCCAACUGACAAUUACUCCUGAGGUGCUGACCUGUUGCACCCUCUAUAAUCACUGUGAUUAUUAUUAUUAUUUGGCCCUGCUGGUCAUCUAUGAAAGUUUGAACAUCUUGGCCAUGUACUGUUAUAAUCUCCACCCGGCACAGCCAGAAGAGGACUGGCCACACCUCAGAGCCUGGUUCCUCUCUAGGUUUCUUCCUAAGUUCCUGGCUUUCUAGGGAGUUUUUCCUAGUCACCGUGCUUCUACAUCUGUAUUGCUUGCUGUUUGGGGUUUUAGGCUGGGUUUCUGUACAUUUGAUUGAAAUAGUCUGGGUAGCCAUUUGAUUAGCUGUUCAGGAGUCUUAUGGCUUGGGGGUAGAAGCUGUUAGGUCUUUUGGAUCUAGACUUGCCAUGCGGUAGCAGAGAGAAGAGUCCAUGACUCCCGAGUGGCACAGCGGUCUAAGACACUGCAUCUCAGUGCAAGAGGCAUCACUAUUGUCCCUGGUUUGAAUCCAGGCUGUAUAACAUCUGGCCGUGAUUGGGAGUUCCAUAGGGUGGUGCACAAUUGGUCCCAGCGUCGUCCGGGUUUGGACGGGGUAGGCCGUCAUUGCAAAUAACAAUUUGUUCUUAACUGACUUGCCAAGUUAAAUAACGGUAAAAAUUUUAACAAUUAUUUGUAUGUUUAGCUCACAUAAUAUAAAUGUCUGCAUUAAGAUGUCUGUAAUAUAAUAAACAUGUCAGAAACGAA